AGAGUUUGAUCAUGGCUCAGGACGAACGCUGGCGGCGUGCCUAAUACAUGCAAGUCGAACGGUCUUUUCUAUGGAAGCUUGCUUCCGCUGAGAAGAUAGUGGCGGACGGGUGAGUAACACGUGGGUAACCUGCCCAUAAGAGGGGGAUAACAUCCGGAAACGGGUGCUAAUACCGCAUAGUUUUCUUGAUCGCAUGAUUGAGAAAGGAAAGACGGCCUUUGUGCUGUCGCUUAUGGAUGGACCCGCGGCGUAUUAGUUAGUUGGUGAGGUAAUGGCUCACCAAGACGAUGAUACGUAGCCGACCUGAGAGGGUGAUCGGCCACAUUGGGACUGAGACACGGCCCAAACUCCUACGGGAGGCAGCAGUAGGGAAUCUUCCGCAAUGGACGAAAGUCUGACGGAGCAACGCCGCGUGAGUGAAGAAGGUUUUCGGAUCGUAAAACUCUGUUGUCAGAGAAGAACAAGUUGGAGAGUAACUGCUCCAGCCUUGACGGUAUCUGACCAGAAAGCCACGGCUAACUACGUGCCAGCAGCCGCGGUAAUACGUAGGUGGCAAGCGUUGUCCGGAUUUAUUGGGCGUAAAGCGAGCGCAGGCGGUUCCUUAAGUCUGAUGUGAAAGCCCACGGCUCAACCGUGGAAGGUCAUUGGAAACUGGGGAACUUGAGUGCAGAAGAGGAGAGUGGAAUUCCAUGUGUAGCGGUGAAAUGCGUAGAUAUAUGGAGGAACACCAGUGGCGAAGGCGACUCUCUGGUCUGUAACUGACGCUGAGGCUCGAAAGCGUGGGGAGCAAACAGGAUUAGAUACCCUGGUAGUCCACGCCGUAAACGAUGAGUGCUAAGUGUUGGAGGGUUUCCACCCUUCAGUGCUGCAGCUAACGCAUUAAGCACUCCGCC
This 893-nucleotide ribosomal RNA is filed under the name uncultured bacterium. RNAcentral describes it as "bacterial SSU rRNA". It matches the Rfam family "Bacterial small subunit ribosomal RNA", at positions 9 to 873 of the family's 1533-position model. The record is from RNAcentral.